GACGAACGCUGGCGGCGUGCUUAACACAUGCAAGUCGAACGGAAAGGCCCUGCUUUUGUGGGGUGCUCGAUUGGCGAACGGGUGAGUAACACGUGAGUAACCUGCCCUUGACUUUGGGAUAACUUCAGGAAACUGGGGCUAAUACCGGAUAGGAGCUCCUGCUGCAUGGUGGGGGUUGGAAAGUUUCGGCGGUUGGGGAUGGACUCGCGGCUUAUCAGCUUGUUGGUGGGGUAGUGGCGUACCAAGGCUUUGACGGGUAGCCGGCCUGAGAGGGUGACCGGCCACAUUGGGACUGAGAUACGGACCAGACUCCUACGGGCGGCAGCAGUGGGGAAUAUUGCACAAUGGGCGGAAGCGUGAUGCAGCAACGCCGCGUGCGGGAUGACGGCCUUCGGGUUGUAAACCGCUUUCGAAUGUGACGAAGCGUGAGUGACGGUAAUGGGUAAAGAAGCACCGGCUAACUACGUG
Molecule: ribosomal RNA, 468 nt
Filed under: uncultured bacterium
Lineage: Bacteria
Description: partial 16S ribosomal RNA
Rfam family: Bacterial small subunit ribosomal RNA
Source: RNAcentral